CUUUGUAGGGAUGCAAACAGAUCCUGGUUGGCAGAUCUCCGGCCUAAUAAUUUAAUAGAGAAAAUUUAAAAAUAUUAUCUUUAUAAUUUUGUAUUGUUUUCACUUUGGUAUUCUGUGAAUUAAAGUGUAUCACUUUUGUAUUCUGUAAUUUUAUUUUUUUCUUUUUAUUGUUUCAGUCACUAUCUUUUUUUGUUAAACCAGUGGCAAAGUUAAAACUAAAGGAUGUCAAAGUAAAUAUUCAAUAAACUGUAGGUGGGUAACAGAAGUUUUUUUAUAUAUAAUUUAACGAAAAGCUAACGGAGGGACUGACGAAAAGAGAAAAAUGAAACACAUGUUACUAAAUUGAUAUACUUUAAACCAUAUGGUACUAAAGUAAAAAAAGUGCGAAACCACGAAGGUAUGGUAUUUGAAGUUUACCCAUAAUUUAAAAAUUGAGCCAAAUCUGAUGGUUCGAUCGAUCCGAUCACGACUCAAGGGUCUAUAAAGUAAUCUAGUUUAAUCUUUUAAACCGAAUAAGUCAAAAAAUUGCUUUGAACUGUUCGAACCGGUGAUUCAAUCAUCGAACU
RNAcentral lists this long non-coding RNA (566 nucleotides) under Ananas comosus (pineapple). Its description in RNAcentral is "long non-coding RNA (ACOM_LNC032838)". Lineage: Eukaryota; Viridiplantae; Streptophyta; Magnoliopsida; Poales; Bromeliaceae. The record is from RNAcentral.